AGUGAACGCUGGCGGUAGGCCUAACACAUGCAAGUCGAACGGCAGCACAGUAAGAGCUUGCUCUUACGGGUGGCGAGUGGCGGACGGGUGAGGAAUACAUCGGAAUCUACUUUUUCGUGGGGGAUAACGUAGGGAAACUUACGCUAAUACCGCAUACGACCUACGGGUGAAAGCAGGGGAUCUUCGGACCUUUCGCGAUUGAAUGAGCCGAUGUCGGAUUAGCUAGGUGGCGGGGUAAAGGCCCACCAAGGCGACGAUCCGUAGCUGGUCUGAGAGGAUGAUCAGCCACACUGGAACUGAGACACGGUCCAGACUCCUACGGGAGGCAGCAGUGGGGAAUAUUGGGCAAUGGGCGCAAGCCUGAUCCAGCCAUACCGCGUGGGUGAAGAAGGCCUUCGGGUUGUAAAGCCCUUUUGUUGGGAAAGAAAAGCAGCAGGUUAAUACCCCGCUGUUCUGACGGUACCCAAAGAAUAAGCACCGGCUAACUUCGUG
Molecule: ribosomal RNA, 492 nt
Filed under: uncultured bacterium
Lineage: Bacteria
Description: partial 16S ribosomal RNA
Rfam family: Bacterial small subunit ribosomal RNA
Source: RNAcentral